RNAcentral lists this ribosomal RNA (252 nucleotides) under uncultured bacterium. Its description in RNAcentral is "partial 16S ribosomal RNA". It matches the Rfam family "Bacterial small subunit ribosomal RNA", at positions 524 to 776 of the family's 1533-position model. The record is from RNAcentral.
UACGGAGGUGGCAAGCGUUGCUCGGAAUCACUGGGCGUAAGGGGCGCGUAGGCGGGGAGGUAAGUCGGGUGUGAAAUCCCUUGGCCCAACCGAGGAACUGCGCCCGAGACUGCUUCUCUUGAGUCCCGGAGAGGAAGGUGGAAUUCCCGGUGUAGCGGUGAAAUGUGUAGAGAUCGGGAGGAACACCGGUGGCGAAGGCGGCCUCUGGACGGUGACUGACGCUGAGGCGCGAAAGCGUGGGGAGCAAACGGG